RNAcentral lists this ribosomal RNA (228 nucleotides) under uncultured bacterium. Its description in RNAcentral is "partial 16S ribosomal RNA". It matches the Rfam family "Bacterial small subunit ribosomal RNA", at positions 524 to 746 of the family's 1533-position model. The record is from RNAcentral.
UACGUAGGGUGCAAGCGUUAAUCGGAAUUACUGGGCGUAAAGCGUGCGCAGGCGGUUUUGUAAGUCUGUCGUGAAAUCCCCGGGCUCAACCUGGGAAUUGCGAUGGGAGACUGCAAGGCUAGAAUCUGGCAGAGGGGGGUAGAAUUCCGACGUGUGGAGCAGUGAAAUGCGUAGAGAUAGUGGAGGAACACCGAUGGCGAAGGCAGCCCCCUGGGUCAAGAUUGACGC